UGCAUCUCUCUCUUCACCUCUUUCUCUCUCACAGAGAAUCUCGGCCAGAAAAUUUUCAAUCGAUUCACAGUUCUUCAUCAUCGUAGUUGUUUAGGAUUUUAAACCAUUAAUCUUAGUAACUUGUUCUCAUAAUCGAUUUCAUUUAUUCGUCAUCAUCAAAAACAAUUUAAUUACGGUUUUGUGAGAAAAAAUUAGAGAAAGAUGAGAUCUCAGUGAAGAACAAUUUGAUCUCUAGUUUCAAUAUGAAGCAAUUGAAGAAAGAAACUCAUCUACAUGUUGAAAACAAAAAUCAUUAACUCUUUCAUUUUUGCUGCUGCAAAUCUUCAUCAUCUUUUUCGUCGUCGACUAAUCAUCUUUAUCAUCUUUUUUUGAUUCUAGUGUAGUAAUCUAAAUGGGAAAGAAAAAUCCUAGAAAAAAAUAAGAAAGAAAUUGAACCAGAUUCAGAAAGAACUUAAACAGAAGAAGAAAAACAUUGUUUCAAGUAAAAAAACCAAAAAGAGGAAGAUUAAAUAAAAAGAAUAAAUCCACAUCUAAGAAACGUACUAAUACAAAAAUCGAUCGCGAUGAAGAGAAGAUAUUGUUGGUACAAAGCAUGUGAAGGUGAUCUAAUUUCUUUGUCUACCUUGUUUUCUUUAGUUUUGUACACCGAGUUUAAGAGGUGAGAGAAAUCUCGAGAACUAAUUUUGUACACUUAGUUAAGGGUGAGAAAAAUCCUAAGAACAUAAGGAUGGAUUUGCAGUAUAGUUGGAUAUUAUGAAAAUAAUGUCAAGUAUAUCGAACCAUGUCGGUGUCGACACUAAUGGAUUAUAGUAUGCUCAGGCUGAAUAUAGUUUAGUAUGCCACUUUGUUGGCUUUUCAUUCAGUUGAUGUAAAUUUUGUUAAUCUAUUUUCUUUUCUAUCGUUUCAAAUUAUACCAUAACUUUCAUUUUUACAUUCUA
Papaver somniferum (opium poppy) is the source of this 938-nucleotide long non-coding RNA. RefSeq lists it as uncharacterized. The record is from RefSeq and is a predicted model, not a curated record. The transcript has 3 exons. Lineage: Eukaryota; Viridiplantae; Streptophyta; Magnoliopsida; Ranunculales; Papaveraceae.